Molecule: ribosomal RNA, 305 nt
Filed under: uncultured bacterium
Lineage: Bacteria
Description: bacterial SSU rRNA
Rfam family: Bacterial small subunit ribosomal RNA
Source: RNAcentral
GUGAACCUACGGGGGGCAGCAGUGGGGAAUAUUGCACAAUGGGGGAAACCCUGAUGCAGCAACGCCGCGUGAGUGAAGAAGGUUUUCGGAUUGUAAAGCUCUGUUAGCAGGGAAGAGGAAGGACGGUACCUGCAGAGGAAGCCACGACUAACUACGUGCCAGCAGCCGCGGUAAUACGUAGGUGGCAAGCGUUGUUCGGAAUAACUGGGCGUAAAGGAUGCGUAGGCGGUUAAACAAGUUAUAUGUUAAAUAUAUAUGCUUAACUUGUAGACAGAAUAUAAAACUGUUUAAUUAGAGUGCAGGGG